This 4040-nucleotide long non-coding RNA is filed under the name Homo sapiens (human). RNAcentral describes it as "HSALNT0269664". The record is from RNAcentral. Lineage: Eukaryota; Metazoa; Chordata; Mammalia; Primates; Hominidae.
CUAUGUGUGUCAACUUUCCUGAGUAGUUGCAUUGUGUUCUGGUGGAUGAAAAAACCCAUAAUGUAUUUGUCCUUUUACUGUUGAUGAAAAUCUAGGUAGUAUCACCCAUCUGGGUGGUCUCAUCUUCACCCAUCUAUAGGAUCAAAUUUAUUAAUUAAAUUAUAUAGAGCUUCUCUAGGUAUACUUUCAUAGUUUUGUCUCUAGAUCUUUGAAAAUUAAAAUGGAAAGAGGUAUCUAAAAUCUCCCACUGUAUCGUAUCACAGAGGUGAAGGAGUCGGCCCAAGACCACACUAUCCAGAGAGGUCAGGAGGCGUUUGGACUCAGCCACCCGGCCCCGGGCAGCCGAGGUUAACGGAACCCAGCGCCCGAGGCUGUUGUGAGGAUGAAACAUGAUCAUGGAAUCUGAAAACUCAGCCUGACGUGGAAAACAUGAUUGCCUGUUAAGCACCGGCUGCUCAUUUUCAUCUUCUGGGUGAAAUGCUCAAAGGGACUGGAUGAAUACUGAUUACUCAUCAAGGAUGUUGGCGAGCCCAGCCCGGAACACAGCGUCCUUGUCCCUUGAUUAAGCAGCAGACACGCUCAGACAGUGGCCCUGCAGGAGGUGGUCGAUGAAUUCAUCUCUUGGCCAUUCAGAGAACCCAACAGCCACGGACUUGGGCAGAGAUGGGUCAAUGGGAGGUCAUGCCGGGUGGUCCCCUCCAGAGGCCACCCCCAAAGGGAAAUAAUGACAGCAUCCUCCCCCCAGGAGGUGCCCCAGACAAGGCUGAUGAAAGGGGUGGCUCGGUGGCUUCCUGUGGAAAGCCCGCUCUGGGACAGACCCCUGUGUGAGAAUGAUCCUGCUUGCUGUUAUCACUCCUUGAUCAAAACCUUCAGUGGCUUCUCACAAGCAGAAGACAGUCAAAACGCCUCUCACAGAGCCCUCCGUGAUUUGACCACAGAUCUUCCCGCUCACGUUUUUGCUCACCGUGUUCUGCUCACACCUGCCUAAUUUCUGGCCCUGGGACGCACCAUGGUCUGUCCUUCCUCAAGCCUCUCCUUCCGCCUGGGUGGAUCUCUGGGUCCACCCCGGCACCAGCUCUGAUGGCCGACUCCUAGCCGGGGCUGCCUGGUUCACUUUCGGACCCUAACACGUGGAGUAGCACCUGCCCAGAGGAGGCACUGGAGAGACAUUCACUCAGGCUACUUCCCAGCGCCUAGAGCAAGGCCUGGUACAUACUAGGUGCUCAGCAAAUAUGGAAGGGAGAGGGGAAAACAGAAGGGAGGAAACGGUGGAGAGAAAUUAUCAUGCAGCAACUUCAGAGACAGCAAGGGGAGUGGAACAGAGAAAGGGGUGCCUUCCAACAGGCACCUGGGACCCCCUUUGGGAUGGGCCCCCUGUACACGCCCAUACCACUCUCCAAGGCUGAAAGCAUCUCGUCCUCCACUGCCAAAGCAUUCCAGGAACGGGGCUGCACCCAGAGCAGCAGGAGGUACCAUCCCCUCUCCUACCCUCACGUCCAGCUCUUCUCCCUGCUCCAUGAUCCACAGUGAGGGCCUCCCUCGCUUCAAGAUAGUCCAUGACUAAGGACCUGUGGGACCAUCACAUUUCUUCAUCUCUUCAAUACAUCUUUUUGAAGGCCUGUGAUGCCCCAUGGAUGGGGCGAGGCUCCGGAUCAAUGAAGGCAGGAAAGUCACACGUGGCCCCACCUGUGGCAAGCCCCCAGCCAGUGGAGCUGGGAACAUACUGGACAGAUGAGAGUCAGCCCAUGUGUUCAGGAAGCCAAUCUGAUUUUUGUCAUCCACUGGCCCUUUAAACUUGUCCACUGGGAAGGAGCCUUGUCCCUGACCAGAUGGGAGCUCAGGCGAUGACCAUGACUUUGCUGGUCGCUUUCUAGCAGUAGACAGUCCUGUGGUCAGUGUGAGUCACAGACGGCCUCAGUCUAGCAGUGGAAAAAGUCCUGUCCUGAGUAAGAAUCAAAACUUGCUCCUUGAUUCAGCACAAUUUGCUGCACGACGGGUGCCUGCGGUAAGCUGACUGCUUGCAGGGAAGUGGCCUGGACCUCCUCUCUUUGCCCACAGGCUUUCGUCCAUCACUCCGACACAGCCUCCUCACUCGGGCUCAGGAGCCAGGCAGGGUCGGGAGGGAGACGAGGUGGACAGCUGCUCCCCCCCAGUCCCGUGUGUGACAGCUCUGAACUGCCUGGGACGCAGCAGAGCCUCCUCCGAUGGACUGACGGCUCUGUGGGGAUGAGCAGGGCCUCUCCUACCUGGCCGCACCCCUGUGGGCCAUUGUCCCGGAGAGGAGCCCCUCUCUUUAAGGGGCUCAGUUGCCCAGGAUGCAUGCAGCAUUGACCGUCUCUUGGAGGAGUUUCAGCUUUUCAGAAGCAGCCGCAGUUCUUCAACCCAGGCCCCUUUUGCCCUCAGGCAUGAGUCCCUUGAGCCCUCCAAAGGCCGGGCGCGGACAGAGCUGUCUGCAUGUUCCCACAAAACCCUCGCCAGUACCAGCCCAAUGGCCAGCAUGCAGCAGGUGCUCAAUAAAUAAACAUCACAUUACUAGAGAGGUACAUAAAUAAACAGCAACUCUUGUGUUUACAGCCAAUGGGCAUGAAAGAGAAAGACUGGGGUCUAGAGAGAAGGGAGGGGGAACACAGCAGGAGAGCUACUUUCGUUUAAGGUGACAUCGUUUCGGAUGUUUGCUAGUUCAGCGGCCAUGAAGGAACGUUCCAGGGCUUGACAACUUCUAAAUUUCUAUGACUCAGUUUCUGGAUUUGAAAAAACUUGCCAAAUUUCGUACACCGCUUGAUGACUCUGGGAGUUUAAGACCCCCUUUCUUAAAGUGAGGAAGAAAAUGGAAAAGGAUUAAAGUUCAGAAGAGUUGAGGCUUAGGUGAGGCAGCUCUUUGUACAUAGGUGUUUAUGUUUCUCUAUGGAAAUGGGCAUUUCUAUUAAGCAAGACUAUGGAUUUCCUUAAAGGAUAUCUUAAUGGUUUUUAAAAGGCUGGUUUAUUGGAAAAAGCAGAAUUGAGUGGAAAAGCAUGCUCUUCUCCCAGAUGCAGUUGGUUAGACACUUGAAGCUCAAUUCUAUAAAAUUGAGCCGAGCAGUGCCAUUUGGAUGCUGCAGCCUUAAGGUCAAGUGCACCAGAGAAAAUGUGUCAGCCUCACAAACCCAAAUAAAAAUGGUAUAAGGCAUGGCUGCCAUUGUCCAGUCUACCAACAGGCUCUCAGAGAGUCAGCAUUUGAGAAGCUCCAGCAACAAUAUUCGAAUUCUGUGCUUCUCCUCUUUGUCCAUAGUGAGCACUUGCUGAGAGCCAAGCAUUCUGCAUACAUUAUCUCAUCCUCAAAAAAUUAUAUUAGCUAGUAUUAUCAUUAUCUUUGUUUUGUAGGUAAGGAAACCGAACAAAGGGAUUCUCUGUAAUUAACCCAAGGUCACACUGCUGAUGAGUGGUGAAGCAGGGUUUAAUCCAAAUUUGACUGAUUACUUAGCCUGGUGCCAGGCUGCCUCUGGCCAGAAGAACUCUUUGCACAUCUAUGUCCCUGUGAUGCCCAGAGCCUUGUCAAUGUAUCCAACUCCUUCUUCCCAUAGGGUGAGUUCUCUCUUGCCAGACUCCUCACUUCCUGCCAACAAACCAUGAGAUAGGCUUGGAUAAAUCUGAUCUGCAUGGAAAGGAAGGAUGUAGUGCCAUCAACACUAAGAGCCCAGGCAACUGAAUCAAUAAGAGAGUUAAAUCUAUGAGUGGUUGAUCACAAUCUCAUGUCCUAAUUGAGAAAUCAGCAAUGUACAGAAAAAGACCCUGCAUACCACAGGACAAAAAUUAUAACUUAUCUGGAGAUUAACAUACAAAGUACAGGUGAACUUUAUGGAGAAAAUUUCAAAACUCAAAGAGCAGAGUACAUAAAUAAGAGAAGUGAUGGGUCGUGUAGGAAAGGAAGAGUUAAAUGUUAUAAGGAUGUCAAUCUCCCUGUAUGUUUCAAUAAAUUUAAUACAAAUGAAAAAGCAGGAUUUGGGGUGAGAAUGAGAUGAAGCAAAUUGAGUCUAAAAUGUACAUGAAAAAACAAUAGCUAA